CUACGGGGCGCAGCAGUGGGGAAUAUUGCACAAUGGGGGAAACCCUGAUGCAGCAACGCCGCGUGGAGGAUGACACAUUUCGGUGCGUAAACUCCUUUUAUAUAAGAAGAUAAUGACGGUAUUAUAUGAAUAAGCACCGGCUAACUCCGUGCCAGCAGCCGCGGUAAUACGGGGGGUGCAAGCGUUACUCGGAAUCACUGGGCGUAAAGAGCAUGUAGGCUGGUUUGUAAGUUGGAAGUGAAAUCCUAUGGCUUAACCAUAGAACUGCUUCCAAAACUACUUACCUAGAAUAUGGGAGAGGUAGAUGGAAUUUCUGGUGUAGGGGUAAAAUCCGUAGAGAUCAGAAGGAAUACCGAUUGCGAAGGCGAUCUACUGGAACAUUAUUGACGCUCAGAUGCGAAAGCGUGGGGAGCAAACAGGAUUAGAUACCCCUGUAGUC
Molecule: ribosomal RNA, 439 nt
Filed under: uncultured bacterium
Lineage: Bacteria
Description: partial 16S ribosomal RNA
Rfam family: Bacterial small subunit ribosomal RNA
Source: RNAcentral